AACGCACCUUGCGCCCUUUGGUAUUCCGAAGGGCAUGCCUGUUUGAGUGUCAUGAAACUCUCAAUCCCUCCGGUUUCUGAUCGGAGGUGUAUUGGAUUUGGGCGUCUUGCCGUUUACCCGGCUCGCCUUAAAAGUGUCAGUGGGGACAAGCAUCUCACGCCGGACGUAAUAGGUUUCGUCUGGUACGGUGUCUGUUGCUGCUAACAACUCCGGCUUCGUGCCGACCACUUUCUGCUCUGACUUCAAAUCAGGUAGGACUACCCGCUGAACUUAA
Molecule: unclassified non-coding RNA, 274 nt
Filed under: uncultured fungus
Lineage: Eukaryota; Fungi
Description: partial contains 5.8S ribosomal RNA, internal transcribed spacer 2, and large subunit ribosomal RNA
Rfam family: 5.8S ribosomal RNA (bases 1-52)
Source: RNAcentral